GACGAACGCUGGCGGCGCGCCUAACACAUGCAAGUCGAACGGAGCUGAGAGAAGCUUGCUUUUCUUAGCUUAGUGGCGAACGGGUGAGUAACGCGUGAGUAACCUGCCCUGGAGUGGGGGACAACAGUUGGAAACGACUGCUAAUACCGCAUAAGCCCACGAUCCGGCAUCGGAUUGAGGGAAAAGGAUUUAUUCGCUUCAGGAUGGACUCGCGUCCAAUUAGCUAGUUGGUGAGGUAACGGCCCACCAAGGCGACGAUUGGUAGCCGGACUGAGAGGGUGAACGGCCGCAUUGGGACUGAGACACGGCCCAGACUCCUACGGGAGGCAGCAGUGGGGGAUAUUGCACAAUGGGGGAAACCCUGAUGCAGCGACGCCGCGUGGAGGAAGAAGGUUUUCGGAUUGUAAACUCCUGUCGUUAGGGACGAUAAUGACGGUACCUAACAAGAAAGCACCGGCUAACUACGUG
This 468-nucleotide ribosomal RNA is filed under the name uncultured bacterium. RNAcentral describes it as "partial 16S ribosomal RNA". It matches the Rfam family "Bacterial small subunit ribosomal RNA", at positions 28 to 507 of the family's 1533-position model. The record is from RNAcentral.